UACGGAAGGCAGCGGUGGGGAAUAUUGCACAAUGGGCGAAAGCCUGAUGCAGCUAUGCCGCGUGUAUGAAGAAGGCCUUAGGGUUGUAAAGUACUUUCAUCGGGGAGGAAAAAACAAAACUAAUAAUUUUAUUUCUUGACGUUACCCGAAAAAGAAGCACCGGCUAACUCCGUGCCAGCAGCCGCGGUAAUACGGAGGGUGCUAGCGUUAAUCAGAAUUACUGGGCGUAAAGAGCACGUAGGUGGUUUUUUUAAAGUCAGAUGUGAAAUCCCUGGGCUUAACCUAGGAACUGCAUUUUGAAACUGAAAUACUAGAGUAUCGUAGAGGGAGGUAGAAUUCUAGGUGUAGCGGUGAAAUGCGUAGAUAUCUGGAGGAAUACCUGUGGCGAAAGCGGCCUCCUAAACGAAUACUGACACUGAGGGUGCGAAAGCGUGGGGAGCAAACAGGGAUUAGAUACC
RNAcentral lists this ribosomal RNA (458 nucleotides) under uncultured bacterium. RNAcentral describes it as "bacterial SSU rRNA". It matches the Rfam family "Bacterial small subunit ribosomal RNA", at positions 340 to 786 of the family's 1533-position model. The record is from RNAcentral.